Non-coding RNA from Desulfopila aestuarii DSM 18488, 82 nucleotides. Lineage: Bacteria; Pseudomonadati; Thermodesulfobacteriota; Desulfobulbia; Desulfobulbales; Desulfocapsaceae. The record is from Rfam.
GUUGGUGUGAUAGCAACUUAGCGCACUGGACUCAAAAUCCAGCGGACGCAAGUCCAUGUCGGUUCGAUUCCGACCUCCGGCA